Molecule: small nucleolar RNA, 71 nt
Filed under: Egretta garzetta (little egret)
Lineage: Eukaryota; Metazoa; Chordata; Aves; Pelecaniformes; Ardeidae
Description: Small nucleolar RNA SNORD18
Rfam family: Small nucleolar RNA SNORD18
About the family: U18 is a member of the C/D class of snoRNA which contain the C (UGAUGA) and D (CUGA) box motifs. It is encoded in introns of ribosomal protein L1 in Xenopus and human, and in introns of elongation factor 1 beta in yeast.
Source: Rfam by way of RNAcentral
CUGGAAUGAUGAGAUUCCACUUCAUUGGUCCGUGUUUCUGAAACCCGUGAUUUUGUGGAAGUUCUGACUUG